GUAUUAUAUUGCGUUAAACGCGGUAUACAUUCCAUGAGACUUCAUUACGUUGUGUGUGUAAAGACGCAGAACCACAGCAGAGGAGGACAGAGCCCCCAGGGCCACAGAACUACGGAGGGUGCACAGGUGUGAGUGGAUGUGUAAACAGAGUGUGCACAUGCCCCCAUGCGAGGACCAGCAACAACUCGUGUUGACAAUUCAGUAAUGAUCCUUCCGCAGGUUCACCUACGGAAA
Molecule: unclassified non-coding RNA, 234 nt
Filed under: uncultured fungus
Lineage: Eukaryota; Fungi
Description: sequence contains ITS1
Source: RNAcentral